RNAcentral lists this ribosomal RNA (440 nucleotides) under uncultured bacterium. Its description in RNAcentral is "bacterial SSU rRNA". It matches the Rfam family "Bacterial small subunit ribosomal RNA", at positions 338 to 770 of the family's 1533-position model. The record is from RNAcentral.
CCUACGGGGGGCAGCAGUGGGGAAUUUUGGACAAUGGGGGCAACCCUGAUCCAGCAAUGCCGCGUGUGUGAAGAAGGCCUUCGGGUUGUAAAGCACUUUUGUCCGGGAAGAAAUCCCUUGAGUUAAUACCUCGGGGGGAUGACGGUACUGGAAGAAUCAGCACCGGCUAACUACGUGCCAGCAGCCGCGGUAAUACGUAGGGUGCAAGCGUUAAUCGGAAUUACUGGGCGUAAAGCGUGCGCAGGCGGUUGAGCAAGAUCGAUGUGAAAGCCCCGGGCUUAACCUGGGAAUGGCAUGGAUGACUGCUUGGCUCGAGUGUGUCAGAGGGGGGUAGAAUUCCACGUGUAGCAGUGAAAUGCGUAGAGAUGUGGAGGAAUACCGAUGGCGAAGGCAGCCCCCUGGGAUAACACUGACGCUCAGGCACGAAAGCGUGGGGAGCA